This 907-nucleotide non-coding RNA is filed under the name Tiliqua gigas. Its description in RNAcentral is "partial 12S ribosomal RNA". It matches the Rfam family "Bacterial small subunit ribosomal RNA". The record is from RNAcentral. Lineage: Eukaryota; Metazoa; Chordata; Lepidosauria; Squamata; Scincidae.
CAUUGUUUUUAAUCAAAAUUACACAUGCAAGCCUCCACGCCCCAGUGAAAAUGCCCACACAACCCUAAAUAGCCAAGUGGAGCAGGUAUCAGGAUCUCAAACAAACCGAAGCCCACAACACCUUGCUACGCCACACCCACACGGGUACUCAGCAGUGAAUAACAUUAAGAAAUAAGCGAAAGCUUGACUUAGUUAUGAUUAAGCUUGGCCGGUAAAUUUCGUGCCAGCCACCGCGGUUAUACGAAAGGCCAAAAACAAUGACCCUCGGCGUAAAGCGUGAUCAGAAUAUAUGUCAAAGAAUUGAAGGGAAACCAAACCAAAAUUGUAAAAUAUAUUGGUACAAGAACCCCACCAACAAAAUGCCUUCAAAUAAAAGACUAUUCAACCUCACUAAAGCUAGGAAACAAACUAGGAUUAGAUACCCUACUAUGCCUAGCCCUAAACAUAGAUGGUUAAACACACAAAACCAUUCGCCAGAGAACUACAAGCGAAAAGCUCGAAACUCAAAGGACUUGGCGGUGCUCCACAUCAUCCUAGAGGAGCCUGUCCUAUAAUCGAUACCCCACGCUUUACCCCACCAUUCUUUGCAGCCCAGCCUAUAUACCGCCGUCGUCAGCUUACCUUGUGAAAGAAACAAAGUAGGCAAAAAAGUUUACAACUAGCACGUCAGGUCAAGGUGUAGCAGAUAGAAUGGAAGAGAUGGGCUACAUUUUCUGCCACAGAAAAAUACGAAAGGUGUAAUGAAACACACACCCAAAGGAGGAUUUAGAAGUAAGCUAAAUAAGAGUCUUUAUCUUAAAUUUGCUCUGGAGCGCGCACACACCGCCCGUCACUCUCAUCGUCCAAAAAUAAACUUAACAUAUAAAAAUACUAACAACAUAGAUGAGGCAAGUCGUAACACGGUAAG